This is a non-coding RNA of Fukomys damarensis (Damara mole-rat), 72 nucleotides long. The record is from Rfam. Lineage: Eukaryota; Metazoa; Chordata; Mammalia; Rodentia; Bathyergidae.
UGGGGUGUGGCUCAGUGGUAGAGCGCUUGCCUAGCCUGUGCAAGGCCUUGGAUUCCAUUUCCAUCACUUCAA